UGAAAAGCAACAAAAAAGGCAUGGGAAACCAAAAAAAAUCUCAUCAUUAUGCUCCAUUAACUUUAAUCAGAAACAACAACCCUCUUCAAUGCAUCUCUCAAUACUUGUAUCUGUCUGUCCAGUCAAGUCUAUCUUUAUUCUCUCCUUCAACACUCCCGUCUCUUCACUCCUUCAUGGCUUCCGUCCAUCUUCGAUCAGCAUCCACCGCUCCAUAUGCAUCAGAUAAGUUGUCUCCCUCUUUUUGAUUCAUUCUGUAGCUAUGAUAUGGGCAACCAUGUUAGAUUCUCUAUGGGUAAAUCGAAAGACACACGACCCAAAACCUAAACUUA
Molecule: long non-coding RNA, 329 nt
Filed under: Gossypium raimondii (Peruvian cotton)
Lineage: Eukaryota; Viridiplantae; Streptophyta; Magnoliopsida; Malvales; Malvaceae
Description: long non-coding RNA (GRAI_LNC004660)
Source: RNAcentral